Molecule: long non-coding RNA, 4159 nt
Filed under: Capra hircus (goat)
Lineage: Eukaryota; Metazoa; Chordata; Mammalia; Artiodactyla; Bovidae
Description: lncRNA (ENSCHIG00010025099.1)
Source: RNAcentral
CCGAUUCAUCAGCCUAACACGUGGCACGUGGCAGGUUCUCUGAGGUGGGGGAGGCUGGGAUAGGAAGGGUCAGGCCCGCAGGCCCCUCCCUGGGCUCAGGGACACCCGCUUGCCUUCUAGGCAGAGCCUCCUGGAGACCAGAGCCCCAUGGGAUACAGCCUCGAGUCUCUCAGACUUUCAGGGAAGCCUGGAAGGUGGUGGUUUCUGGGACAGGAGUCCUUCCUUGGGAGGAGUGCUGGCCUGGCCUCUGAUCCCCAGGAACCCGGUCUGGGCCACAGGAACCCAGAGUGUGCGGCUCCGGCCAGUCCCGCCCCCACAACGCGGGAGCUUCAGUCUUCCUGUCCCCACAGGGAACCAGGUGGACACUUCCGAGCACCUUCGCGCAGGCUCUGUGGCCCCCUCGCCUCCCCGACAACCUCACCUCUGUUCGCUGAUAUGGCCAGCAGGCCCCACCUACCCAGCCACCUUCAUUUGCUCGAGCUGGCGGCCGGGCGGGGCUAGGGUCUAUCUGGCCGUCGGAUUAAUACCCAGAUAUUAAGUAAACAAUAAAUUAGCAAAACUACAAGAAAAUUUUACAGCCCUUUGCAUUUGGCAAUCAUUGAGUGUUAAUUAGAAAUUCAUUACAAUUAAAACCCUGCCUAAACAGGGCCUGCGCGCCUUAAUUACAUCUGAUUUUUAAUUCAGAAUACGUGUUUACACAGUAAGCGCUACGUACCCCAUGAUUAUCCCCAAUCCUCUUUAUACUGUACUAAUUAUGUAAAUUAAACCUAAUUAACUGACGAAAACUGCCGUUAAUUCAACUGGUAAAAGAUAUGUGCUUGCGGAGGAGGCGCGGCCGCAGCCCAAGACAGAGCUGGAAUGGGCAAGGGACGCCCGGCUGCGUGGACUCGACGCCAGGGACUCAGAGGCAGCAUGGACACGGCGGGGGCUGGUGGGGUGCAAGCCAGGCGUGUCCCUGAUCCUGGCCCUCCGACCCUGGUGCACCCAGCAGUGGGUAAAAUAGAAUCCGCGCCAGAGGGGGUCAGAAAGACCAAGGGCACUGACUCCAGCGCAUUCCCCAGGCGCUGGACUGAGCUGCAGGACUCAGAGGCCCCUCUGAGCAAGAGGGAUGCCGCCCUCCCCCGUCUGAGCCUGAGUUCAAGUCCCAGCGCUGCCCCACACUGGCUGCCUGCAUCUGAGCAAGUCACCUGGCUUUGCUAGGCCUGUUAUCCUCCUCGCGGAGUGUUUCGAGGGCGACCCUAAAAGCUCGUGAGCUGCGCAGUGCUUGUCUUUCGUUCAUUAAACGACGCCCUCCAGGCAGCGUGCAAGACACGAUAUUUGGGGUCUGGGAGAUCAGCCUGCAUCCCUUAUUGACUGAGGAGCCUGGGUGAGUUGGCUUCCACUGCCUGACCCUCGAUUUCCUACCUGUAAAAUGGGAAUAAAUGAUCUUUACCUAUUUCCAGGGUCGUUGUGAGAAAGGGCUCUGCCAACUGAGAUGCUCUUUGCGGUGAUACUAACCAACUGGACUCUGGCUCAGCGCAGAGUCCAGGCCCGACCCCAAGACCCCUCCUUGGAGAUUACCAUCUCUCAAGCGAGCGGCGCCCCUUCCCCAGCCUCUGCCCAUAAGCGUUUAAGUCUUUCUCUGCUUCAGACCCGGUGGAAGAGCAGGGUAGGUCUUCGAAGUCAGAGAGGGCGCAGGGAGCUGUCCACGGAUUGGUGCUGAACGGAGACGCAGGGGUCAACCUGCAUCCCCUUCCCCGCACCCCACGGCGCUGCAUCCGCAAAGGGAACUUUUGUCUAAGAAGUCCCCCGAGACCGCGCGGCCCGGCUGCCAGGAGUGCCCUGGAGGCCGUCCCCAGAGGCACUGCUGGCCAUCGCAGUACAAUAGAGGUAGGAGAGACAGGCCCAGCUCAAGGGGAUCCUCCCCAUCGUCUUUCCACUCCAACCCCCACCACCCUGAGGGCGUCCGGGCUCCAGGAUCGUUGUCACCAUCACACCGAAUUCUGAGAUGUCUUUUAAAAAAUCAUUAGGAGGCUAAGAAUAAUUACCGAACGGGAUUGUAAUUAUGGGGUGAGGAGGCCGGCCAAGGGAGGGGGAUGAGGGGUGGAGUCUGGGGGACGGCUCUUGGACUGGGACAGAAAAUAGGUUCCUGUUUUCCUUGGAGGGAAGUGGGAUGGGGGAUGCAGGGGUGGAGAUCCGCUGAGUUAGAGCGGGACAGAGGUAGAAACUGGGAAAGACGCGCCAGUGGAGGGACAAGAUUCGGAGAGAGAAAGGGGGCUGAGCAGGCUCCAGGGAAAAAGAGAGAAAGGCAAGGAAAUACCAGAGAGAGAGAAAGGCGGGAGCUGAUAAAGGUGAAAGAGCAAGAACCCCUCUAGAAGAGACCCCGCAGCAGAGACUAAGCCCUCAAACUUGGGGUCGGGUUGUUUCGUAGCCCCGGAAAACACGCGAGGAGCAGGUGGCAAGCCAGUUACAGGGCCUGGCCGCCCCCUCUCUCCGAGGGUAGCCCUGGGCAAUCUGUUCCCACCCCCCAGAGGCAUUUCCCAAGACCCCUGCGAGCCCGCGGAGAAGAGAAAAGCACAGGGGAAUGCAGGAGAAGGGGAGAUGAACCCUAGAGGAGCCGGAGUGUAGGAGGGGAGAGGGCCUGAAACCCAGAGCGAGAGGGAAGACGAGAGGGCGGGGGCGAGGGCGACCCGGCGCCGCUGGCCGCGGAAGAUUUAUUGCACCGCCCGGGUUCCAAGGACUGGCUGCGAUCGCCGCUGCUGCCCGUGUCAGGAGCUGCCGCGGCCGCUGCGCCCCCUGCACGGGCAGCCCGCCGCGCCCCGGGCCAUGCCUGCCAUUAUUAACUUCUGUUUGAUUAGGGUAAUUGUUCAAACUUGGACUGGACAGUAUGAUUAAUUACAGUUUAAUUAACGUGUCCAUUANNNNNNNNNNNNNNNNNNNNNNNNNNNNNNNNNNNNNNNNNNNNNNNNNNNNNNNNNNNNNNNNNNNNNNNNNNNNNNNNNNNNNNNNNNNNNNNNNNNCUGGACAGUAUGAUUAAUUACAGUUUAAUUAACGUGUCCAUUAAGGACACUUAAUGCCACAGAGGGGUGGGUGGGGUAAGGGGGUGUCCGGGUGCGGGCUAAAAGGGAGGGAGUACGACUAAGUAACUCAAAUAAGGAAAGACGGAGAAUGAGAGAGAGGGAGAAAACCGGACCUACUGAGUCAGUGGGGGGAAAGAACGGUGAAGACAGAAAUCGACAGAAAAGUGAAGAGGUGGAAAGAAAUGGAGCUCUUCGAAGAGAGAAGAUGCCAGGGAGGGUCUCCAGCAUCAGGGGCUAGACCCCCACCACCAGGAAACUAAGUUAACAGGAGACCCAGGGAGGGGUCUAGCUUUCAACUAGUAGUUGACCCCAGAUAUCACCCAGAGAUGACUCGGCUCCUGGCCUGGGCUGGUUGGUGUUAAUGGAGGGGGGUGGUUAAAGGCCCGGGACCCCCCUAAACCCAGUUCCCGAGCCCACAGCUCAGUGAAGGAGAAAGGAGGCUGUCGUGACACCAGUGCGUCCUAGUCAGAAGCGUGGGCGAGUUGGUUCUGCCCCUUCCCGGCUACUAUCCCCUGGCACCUCACACCCUGAUCUCUGCUCCGACUUCCCAGGGUCAUCUCCCUGGCCCGAGAGUGCGGUAUGCAUUCUCAAGCCCUUUCCUUCUGAGUCUUCCUUAGCCAUUGGUCUAGCUCCUUGCCACUUAGCCUGGAGAGCUGAGCCCUCCCCCACUUUGCUCUUGGGGGCAAACUUUGUGGCCCCGGGCUCCUCCUUCCUCCCGGUCCCCUUAGCGAGCUUGGGCUGCUGGUGCGGGGCUCAGGGAACAGGUGUGUGGCCGCUUACCUGGGGCGCCCAGAGCCGGGAGCUGCGGGAAGGCGGCGGGGCCAGGCGCGUGGCCCGAGGGCUAGCUAUCGGACCCUGGGAGGGCGCGAGUGACUGCACGGGCGGUGGGUGUGGCGCCCCGGCUCGCAGAUGUCAGGCGCGCCCGCCCCGCGCUGGGCUCGCCACUCGGGCUGUCCCCGCGCCUUGCCAGUCGCCGCGCUAUGCUCUCCAGGCUUCGGCCUCCGCGCCGGGCCCGUCCAGGGCCUCAGGGGCAACCGCACAGGGGACCCAUCUUUCUGCCCGGGACCCUGGAGCCGUGCGCCUGCUGAGAGCCUGCGCCG